This 422-nucleotide ribosomal RNA is filed under the name uncultured Glomeromycotina. RNAcentral's name for it is "SSU rRNA". It matches the Rfam family "Eukaryotic small subunit ribosomal RNA", at positions 672 to 1092 of the family's 1831-position model. Lineage: Eukaryota; Fungi; Glomeromycota. The record is from RNAcentral.
UGGUAUGACUGGUUUUACUGAUUCCUCCCUCUUGAAGAACUGUAAUGCCAUUAAUUUGGUGUUGCAGGGAAUCAGGACUGUUACUUUGAAAAAAUUAGAGUGUUUAAAGCAGGCUUUAGCUUGAAUACAUUAGCAUGGAAUAAUGAAAUAGGACGUUUGAUCCUAUUUUGUUGGUUUCUAGGAUUGACGUAAUGAUUAAUAGGGAUAGUUGGGGGCAUUAGUAUUCAAUUGUCAGAGGUGAAAUUCUUGGAUUUAUUGAAGACUAACUACUGCGAAAGCAUUUGCCAAGGAUGUUUUCAUUAAUCAAGAACGAAAGUUAGGGGAUCGAAGACGAUCAGAUACCGUCGUAGUCUUAACCAUAAACUAUGCCGACUAGGGAUCGGAUGAUGUUAAUUUUUUAAUGACUCAUUCGGCGCCUUACG